GCCGGUGUGGUGAAAUUGGUAUACACGACGGAUUCAAAAUCCGUUUCCUUCGGGAGUGGCGGUUCAAGUCCGCCCAUCGGUACCA
RNAcentral lists this transfer RNA (85 nucleotides) under Vibrio alginolyticus. RNAcentral describes it as "tRNA-Leu". It matches the Rfam family "tRNA". Rfam says of the family: Transfer RNA (tRNA) molecules are approximately 80 nucleotides in length. Their secondary structure includes four short double-helical elements and three loops (D, anti-codon, and T loops). RNAcentral also lists the same sequence under 3 other names. Lineage: Bacteria; Pseudomonadati; Pseudomonadota; Gammaproteobacteria; Vibrionales; Vibrionaceae. The record is from RNAcentral.